GAUGAACGCUGGCGGCGUGCCUAAUACAUGCAAGUCGAGCGAACGGACGAGAAGCUUGCUUCUCUGAUGUUAGCGGCGGACGGGUGAGUAACACGUGGAUAACCUACCUAUAAGACUGGGAUAACUUCGGGAAACUGUAGCUAAUACCGGAUAAUAUUUUGAACCGCAUGGUUCAAAAGUGAAAGACGGUCUUGCUGUCACUUAUAGAUGGAUCCGCGCUGCAUUAGCUAGUUGGUAAGGUAACGGCUUACCAAGGCAACGAUGCAUAGCCGACCUGAGAGGGUGAUCGGCCACACUGGAACUGAGACACGGUCCAGACUCCUACGGGAGGCAGCAGUAGGGAAUCUUCCGCAAUGGGCGAAAGCCUGACGGAGCAACGCCGCGUGAGUGAUGAAGGUCUUCGGAUCGUAAAACUCUGUUAUUAGGGAAGAACAUAUGUGUAAGUAACUGUGCACAUCUUGGCGGUACCUAAUCAGAAAGCCACGGCUAACUACGUG
RNAcentral lists this ribosomal RNA (497 nucleotides) under uncultured bacterium. Its description in RNAcentral is "partial 16S ribosomal RNA". It matches the Rfam family "Bacterial small subunit ribosomal RNA", at positions 28 to 507 of the family's 1533-position model. The record is from RNAcentral.